AAUCAACGCUGGCGGCGUGCCUAACACAUGCAAGUCGAACGCGAGAGGGGCUUCGGCCCCGAUUGAGUGGCGAACGGGUGAGUAACACGUGGGUGACCUACCUUCGAGUGGGGGAUAACGUCCCGAAAGGGACGCUAAUACCGCAUAACAUUCCGCUUUUGAACAAGUGGAAAUCAAAGCCGGGGAUCGUAAGACCUGGCGCUUGAAGAGGGGCCCGCGUCCGAUUAGCUAGUUGGUGAGGUAACGGCNCACCGAGGCGACGAUCGGUAGCCGGCCUGAGAGGGCGGACGGCCACACUGGGACUGAGACACGGCCCAGACUCCUACGGGAGGCAGCAGUGGGGAAUUGUUCGCAAUGGGCGCAAGCCUGACGACGCAACGCCGCGUGGAGGAUGAAGGUCUUCGGAUUGUAAACUCCUGUUGCUCGGGACGAAAUGCUCCAGCCUAACACGUUGG
Molecule: ribosomal RNA, 455 nt
Filed under: uncultured bacterium
Lineage: Bacteria
Description: bacterial SSU rRNA
Rfam family: Bacterial small subunit ribosomal RNA
Source: RNAcentral